This 330-nucleotide long non-coding RNA is filed under the name Ananas comosus (pineapple). RNAcentral describes it as "long non-coding RNA (ACOM_LNC021831)". Lineage: Eukaryota; Viridiplantae; Streptophyta; Magnoliopsida; Poales; Bromeliaceae. The record is from RNAcentral.
UGAAGUAUAAUAUAGAAAAGAACCUUCUAUCUCAAUUCUCAGUUAAAAUAAACGUUCAUCGUUAAUAAAAAAAAUCAAGCUGUGUAAAAGUGAGAUAUUUUUAAUACUUAUGUUCAAUGUUUUUUUUUAGAGAGAGAGAGAGAGAGGUAGUAUGCUAUUCGUUUUGUUUAUUUUAUUUAGAAAUAAACUUAGCUGAAAAUAUGAAUCAAUUAGGAUUCAAACUUGGGGUCUCGGAUACCAACCAUCAAAUCCUUUGCUACUUGCGCUAGGAACGAUUAGUAUGUUCAAUAUUUUCUUGAUGUGCAAGACCUGUCCUUUAGUUAUACAAAA